Molecule: small nucleolar RNA, 134 nt
Organism: Brienomyrus brachyistius
Lineage: Eukaryota; Metazoa; Chordata; Actinopteri; Osteoglossiformes; Mormyridae
Product: small nucleolar RNA SNORA9
Exons: 1
Source: RefSeq, a predicted model, not a curated record
GUGCAGGCCUAUCCAGCAAGGCAGAACCAAUGGUGGCUCUGUCCUUUCCUGUGGAUCCUGCUAGAAUCACGUGAGGUGGUUUGAGGCCCUGCCAUGCUCUGUCCAUGGCAAGGUUAUAGAGACUUCAGACACUC